GAUGAACGCUGGCUACAGGCUUAACACAUGCAAGUCGAGGGGAAACGCCGGGGAAGCUUGCUUCCCCGGGCGUCGACCGGCGCACGGGUGAGUAACGCGUAUCCAACCUGCCUCUGACUGAGGGAUAACCCGUCGAAAGUCGGCCUAAUACCUCAUGGUAUCGUCUGCGGGCAUCCAACGACGAUUAAAGAUUUCAUCGGUCAGGGAUGGGGAUGCGUCUGAUUAGCUUGUUGGCGGGGUAACGGCCCACCAAGGCUACGAUCAGUAGGGGUUCUGAGAGGAAGGUCCCCCACAUUGGAACUGAGACACGGUCCAAACUCCUACGGGAGGCAGCAGUGAGGAAUAGUGGUCAAUGGGCGAGAGCCUGAACCAGCCAAGUAGCGUGCAGGAAGACGGCCCUAUGGGUUGUAAACUGCUUUUAUGCGGGGAUAAAGUGAGGGACGUGUCCCUCAUUGCAGGUACCGCAUGAAUAAGGACCGGCUAAUUCCGUG
Molecule: ribosomal RNA, 491 nt
Filed under: uncultured bacterium
Lineage: Bacteria
Description: partial 16S ribosomal RNA
Rfam family: Bacterial small subunit ribosomal RNA
Source: RNAcentral